GCCAUGCCGCGUGCAGGAAGACGGCCCUAUGGGUUGUAAACUGCCUUUAUACAGGAAGAAACGUUAGUACGUGUACUAGCCUGACGGUACUGUAAGAAUAAGGAUCGGCUAACUCCGUGCCAGCAGCCGCGGUAAUACGGAGGAUCCAAGCGUUAUCCGGAAUCAUUGGGUUUAAAGGGUCCGCAGGCGGUCUAAUAAGUCAGAGGUGAAAUCCUAUCGCUCAACGAUAGAACUGCCUUUGAUACUGUUAGACUUGAGUUAUUGUGAAGUAGUUAGAAUGUGUAGUGUAGCGGUGAAAUGCAUAGAUAUUACACAGAAUACCGAUUGCGAAGGCAGAUUACUAACAAUACACUGACGCUCAGGGACGAAAGCGUGGGUAGCGAACAGGAUUAGAUACCCUGGUAGUCCACGCCGUAAACGAUGGUCACUAGCUGUUUGAUGCACAUUGGUGUGUUGAGUGGCUAAGCGAAAGUGAUAAGUGACCCACCUGGGGAGUACGCUCGCAAGAGUGAAACUCAAAGGAAUUGACGGGGGCCCGCACAAGCGGUGGAGCAUGUGGUUUAAUUCGAUGAUACGCGAGGAACCUUACCAGGGCUUAAAUGUAAGUUGCAUGGAUCAGAGAUGAUCCUUUCUUCGGACUACUUACAAGGUGCUGCAUGGUUGUCGUCAGCUCGUGCCGUGAGGUGUCAGGUUAAGUCCUAUAACGAGCGCAACCCCUAUCGUUAGUUGCCAGCAAGUGAAGUUGGGUACUCUAACGAGACUGCCGGUGCAAACCGAGAGGAAGGUGGGGAUGACGUCAAAUCAUCACGGCCCUUACGUCCUGGGCUACACACGUGCUACAAUGGCCGGUACAGAGAGCAGCCACUACGCGAGUAGGAGCGAAUCUUCAAAGCCGGUCUCAGUUCGGAUCGCAGUCUGCAACUCGACUGCGUGAAGCUGGAAUCGCUAGUAAUCGCAUAUCAGCCAUGAUGCGGUGAAUACGUUCCCGGGCCUUGUACACACCGCCCGUCAAGCCAUGGAAGCUGGGGGUACCUGAAGUCGGUGACCGAAAGGAGCUGCCUAGGGUAAAACUAGUAACUGGGGCUAAGUCGUAACAAGGUAGCCGUACCGGAAGGUGCGGCUGGAACACCUCCUUUCU
Molecule: ribosomal RNA, 1138 nt
Filed under: uncultured Flavobacteriaceae bacterium
Lineage: Bacteria; Pseudomonadati; Bacteroidota; Flavobacteriia; Flavobacteriales; Flavobacteriaceae
Description: bacterial SSU rRNA
Rfam family: Bacterial small subunit ribosomal RNA
Source: RNAcentral